This 512-nucleotide ribosomal RNA is filed under the name uncultured bacterium. Its description in RNAcentral is "bacterial SSU rRNA". It matches the Rfam family "Bacterial small subunit ribosomal RNA", at positions 25 to 518 of the family's 1533-position model. The record is from RNAcentral.
CAGAACGAACGCUGGCGGCGUGCUUAACACAUGCAAGUCGAACGCGAAAGGGACUUCGGUCCUGAGUAAAGUGGCGCACGGGUGAGUAACGCGUAGAUAACCUGUCUUCAUGUCUGGAAUAAUACGCCAAAGGGGUACUAAUACCGGAUAUUCUUGCUUUUCAUAAGUUAUGCAAGCAAAGGUGGCCUCUGCAUAUGCUACUGCAUGAAGAGGGGUCUGCGUACCAUUAGCUAGUAGGUGGGGUAAUGGCCUACCUAGGCGACGAUGGUUAGCGGGUCUGAGAGGAUGAUCCGCCACACUGGCACUGGAACACGGGCCAGACUCCUACGGGAGGCAGCAGUGAGGAAUAUUGCGCAAUGGGGGAAACCCUGACGCAGCGACGCCGCGUGAGUGAGGAAGGCCUUCGGGUCGUAAAGCUCUGUCAAGAGGAAAGAAGUGUACAAUGGCUAAUACCUGUUGUAUUUGACGGUACCUCUAAAGGAAGCACCGGCUAACUCCGUGCCAGCCGCCGC